AAUGCACCCUGGUUGGGCUGCCACACCUGGUGUAGCUAAAAGCUUGCCUGGCUUCUCCGAGAAGUUAUCUGGUAGGCCUAGAACAAGCGAGGAGGGAGCAGACACAGUCAUCUGGUUAGCUUUGCAACCGAAGGAGAAGUUGGUAUCAGGUGCUUUCUAUUUUGACCGUGCAGAAGCACCCAAACACUUGAAGUUUGGAGGAACAGCAGGCUCUCAUUCCCUCAUUGAUCCCAUUGUUGACUCUCUUCGUUCCUUGUGUAACCUGCCCUCGUAAACGGUAACGAAUCCUUCCUCCCUGGUACUACAGUU
This 309-nucleotide unclassified non-coding RNA is filed under the name Hevea brasiliensis (rubber tree). Lineage: Eukaryota; Viridiplantae; Streptophyta; Magnoliopsida; Malpighiales; Euphorbiaceae. The record is from RNAcentral.